RNAcentral lists this long non-coding RNA (209 nucleotides) under Elaeis guineensis (African oil palm). Its description in RNAcentral is "long non-coding RNA (EGUI_LNC024109)". The record is from RNAcentral. Lineage: Eukaryota; Viridiplantae; Streptophyta; Magnoliopsida; Arecales; Arecaceae.
UGACAGCUAUGAGAAGCAAUGUUCAAGCUCUUGGUUUUGAUUUCGAAUUCAAACAGGCAAUAUGAAUUUUAGUUUCCUCCAAAUUCAGAGUUUGGGCCACAAUGAUAUUGAAAAAUCAGGAAACUGGUAUAAAAAUGUAAAACAAGCAAAAUUAAAACAUAAAAGUAAGAUGUCAUUUUAGAACAUAUUGUACAUUUGGAACCGUUGGU